UAGUCCACGCCGUAAACGAUGAACACUAGGUGUAGGGAGCUCUUGCACUCUCUGUGCCGCAGCUAACGCGUUAAGUGUUCCGCCUGGGGAUUACGGCCGCAAGGCUAAAACUCAAAGAAAUUGACGGGGGCCCGCACAAGCGGUGGAGGAUGUGGUUUAAUUCGAUGCAACGCGAAGAACCUUACCUGGGCUUGACAUCCCGCGCUAUCCAGAGAAAUUUGGAGUUCCCUUCGGGGACGCGGUGACAGGUGCUGCAUGGCUGUCGUCAGCUCGUGUCGUGAGAUGUUGGGUUAAGUCCCGCAACGAGCGCAACCCUUGCCAUUAGUUGCCACCAUUCAGUUGAGCACUCUAAUGGGACCNCUUGCCGAUAAGGCAGAGGAAGGUGGGGGAUGACGUCAAGUCCGCAUGGCCCUUACGUCCAGGGGCUACACACGUCCUACAAUGGCCAGUACAGACCGAUGCGAGGCCGCAAGGGCGAAGCUAAUCGGGAGAAAACUGGGU
This 501-nucleotide ribosomal RNA is filed under the name uncultured bacterium. RNAcentral describes it as "bacterial SSU rRNA". It matches the Rfam family "Bacterial small subunit ribosomal RNA", at positions 791 to 1287 of the family's 1533-position model. The record is from RNAcentral.